Molecule: long non-coding RNA, 9218 nt
Organism: Mustela lutreola (European mink)
Lineage: Eukaryota; Metazoa; Chordata; Mammalia; Carnivora; Mustelidae
Exons: 2
Source: RefSeq, a predicted model, not a curated record
UUAGAAUCUUCUCUGGUGGUUCAUUUAUCACAAAGGUUGCCUUUUAUAGAGAACCCCGAUUGAAAGCUUGCAUGUUCUAUUGAUAAGAUGAAAUCCAGCUUUGCCGUGCGUCAAUUGUUAAGUCCCUUAGUGAAAAGUUUUUGUAGAUUGCCCACAGGAGGAUAAUAGGUCAAUAUAGUUCAUCAGUUUAGCUUUUAUUGUCUCUUUGUAGGGCAAAAUGAUAAUAGUGUUGUUCUAACUUCAUGAAAGUCUUUUUUCUAUUUUUGUAAAUAGUUUCUCUAGUUCUUUUGAGCUCUCUUUUGGCAGUGCAGUUAGUAAUUGGUACCUAUGUCAGGAAUUAGCUGCUUCUUACAGCUUGAAAUGUGAAUUUUGUUGGGGGGAUUUAAAAAAAUUAGUGUGUAUAAUACUUUUAUUAUUUUGCCCAUAUAUUUUACAUACUGAAUAAAUGGAAGAUAACCUUUUAGAUGUUGUCCAAUUUGGAACUAGGUUUUUAUUGGGGAGAGAUGCAUUUUCUGCAGAGUUGGGUUCUCUAAAAUCAGGAUAUGAGAUGCUAGCUUUUUUCAAUUUUGCAAUAUAAUGAAAGUCAUUUUUGCAGAAAUGUUUUCAAUGUUUCUUCAAUUUUAAAGACCCUCCUUUAAUACUUUAGUGAUCAAAAAAAAUUGAACUCAGUGUCAUCUUUGUUGUUUUCGAUGAUUAACUUAUAUGACUUUUUUAAGAUAGUUCAUGUGAUCCAAAGAAGUUUUGAGCACAUUUUUUUAAGCACUUUUUUAUUAACUUUAUGAAAUCGUGCAUAUUUUGGUAAUGUGGUUUAAUGUAGUUGAUUUGUGUUGUGUUUGGAUUACAUUGUCAGAUGUUUACAGAUCUAUAGCUAGCAAGAGACUAAAGGUAUGAUGAGCAGACAUAGACACUUGUGUUGAUUCUGAGGGUGGGAUGGUCAAGAUGGGAAGCACAUUUUACAGAUGAUCAUUUUAUUAAUGAGUACUUUUAUUUCUAAUUCUUGCUUCCUUGUGUAACCUGGAACUGCAGAGUCUCAAAUAAUGAAUUUUCCAGAUAACAUGGAGCUCUUAAACUUUAGGUAUCUAGAGGAAAAGGAAUUGGAAGCAUUCUUGAAAAUAAACUAAAUAUGUUACCAUUCUUCCAUGGGAAAGUAUAAAAACAAGAGUUUUUAACGUAUUUUUCAGUUUGCAUGGUUAAAUCUUACUCUUUAAUUUUGGAGUAUAGAAUUUAGAGACAUGCUGAAAGUUUGAACAAAGCAUAUGCUUGAAAUAAAAGAGUAGAUAUUGUGGGGAGCAGUUGUGAAUUGCCCCCCAAAUCCUCUACCAUUAUUAGCUGACAAAGUACUGGAUUGUUUCAAUUUAAUGAGACUAUUGUCAUGUUUUUCUGUAUGGGUGAGUGAAAUUAAUGUCAUGGGAUUAAUAUAAUGAACACAUUUUCUUUAACAUUUUGUGUUUUACACGAUUGUGUCUGAGAGAAAACACUGUGGUAGUGUUCUCAGAUACUUAUGUGUUCUUCGUCACAUAAUCUAGAAAAGUGAAAUAAAUAAUGGACUUUUGUAUUUUUCUUUCUUUGUUUUAUAUCUAGAAGUUUGUACCUUUUGACCUCCUUCAUCCAUUUUGCUUCAUAUCCACCUCCCCUUUCCCUAGGCAUCCACCAGUCAGUUUUCUGUAUUCGUUAGUUUGGAAAUACUUUGGUUUCAUUUUGUUUUAAAUUCAGUGUAUGAGAUCAUAUGAUAUUUAUCUUUUCCAUCUGACUUAUUUCAUUUAGCAUUAUGUCCUCUAGGUCCAUUCACAUUGUCACAAAUGACAAACUUUUGUUCAUUUUUAUAGCUGAAUAAUAUUCUGUUGUAUGUACAUAUAGCGUAUUUUUACCACCAUUCACCCGUUGAUAGCCAUUUAGGUUGUUUCCAUGCCUUGGCUAUUAUUAGUAAUGCUACAGUGCACUUGGGGUGCAUAUAUUUCCUCAAAUUAAUAUUUUCAUUUUCUUCAGAUAAUUAUCCAUACGUGAAGUUGCUGGGUCAUAUGGCAGUUCAACUUUUAACUUCUUGAGGAACUUCCAGACUUUUCCAUUUUGACUGUACCAUUUUACAUUCCCACCAACACUAUACAAAAGGUUCUCUUUUCUCCACAUCCUGGCCAACACUUAGUAGCGCCCCUUGACUUUUUGUUAAUAGCUAUUCUAACAGACGUGAGGCGAUAUCUCAGUGUGGUUUUGAUUUGCAUUUCCCUGAUUAUUUUUUUUUAAAAGAUUUAUUAAUUUAAAAGAGAGAUCAGGAUAUAGGCAGGGGGAGCAGCAAGCAAAGGGAGCGGGAGAAGCAGGCUCCCCACUGAGCAUGAAAUCUGAUGAGGGGCUAGUUCCUGAGAACCAUGGGAAUUAUGACCUGAGCCCUAGGCAGCCACUUAACUAACUGAGCCACCCAGGCAGCCCCUGAUGAUUAGUGAUCUUAAGUAUCUUUUCAUAUACCUGUUGGCUAUCUGUAUGUCUUCUUUGGAAAAAAAGCCAUUCGGGUCCUCUGCCUAUUUUUUAGUAAGAUUGUUUGGGGGUUUUCUUGCUUUUAAGUUAUAUGAGUUUUGUUUUUUUGUUAUUCUUUUAAGACUUAUUUAUUUGAGAGAGAGCACAGAAGAAAGCUUGAGCAGGAGGUUGGUGGUAGGAGGGGCAGAGGGAGAAGCAGACUCCCCGCUGAGCAGGGAACCUGACAUGGGGCUCGAUCGCAAGACCCCAGGAUCAUGAUCUGAGCUGAAGGCAGACACUUAACUGACUGAGCUACCCAGGCACCCUUAGUUAUGUGAGUUUUUGAAAUGUAUUUUAGAUAUUUACCCCUUAUCAGAUAGAGAUUUGAGAAUGUUUUCUCAUUCAGUGCAUUGCCUUUUUAUUUUGGUAAUGGUUUCUUUUGUUAUGCAGUACCAUUUUAUUAUUAUUUUUUUUAAUGCAGUACCUUUUGAGUUUGGUAUCCUUUACUUGGCGUUUCGUUUUGUUUUUUGUUUUAGUCAAAUUCAAAAUAUCAUGACUAAUAUAAAGGAGCUUACUGCCUAUGUUUUCUUCUAAGAGUUUGAUGGUCUUUUGAAAAUUUAUAUUACUCAAAUCUUUAAUCCAUUUUGAGUUAAUUUUUCUGUACAGUGUAAGGUAAUUGUCCAGUUUCCUUCUUCUGUAUGUAGUUGUUCAGUUUUCCCAACACUGUAUUGAAGAGACUGUCCUUGUAUAUUCUUGACUUCUUGUAAAUAAAUUAACCCUAUAUACAUGGGUGUUUUUCUGGGCUCGUAAUUGUGUUUCAUUUAUCUAUGUGUCUGUUUUUAUGCUGAUACCAUACUGUUAACGAUUGUUAGGGCUUUGUAAUGUAGUUUGAAAUCAAGAGUGUGAAGCCUCCAGCUUUUUUCUUUGUUCUUAAGAUUGCUUGGGCUAUUUAGGGUCUUUUGUGGUUUCAUACAGAUUUGGGGGUUGUUCUAUUUUUGUGAAAAGUACUGUUGGAAUUUUGAUGGGGGGUUGUGUUGAAUCUGUAGAGUGCUUUGAGUAGUAUCAACAUUUAAGCAAUAUUAGUUAUUCCAAUCUAUGAAUAUGGAAUAUCUUUCCAUUUAUUUGUGCCUUCAGUUUCUUUCAUUGAUAUCUAAAGUUUCCAGUAUACAGAUCAUUCACCUUCUUGAUUAGAUGUAUUUCUAUGUAUUUUAUUAAAGAUUUUAUUUAUUAUUUAUUUGACAGACAGAGAUCACAAGUAGGCAGAGAGGCAGGCACAGAGAGAGGAGGAAGCAGGUUCCCUGCUGAGCAGAGAACCCGAUGCAGGGCUCGAUCCCAGGACCCUGAGAUCAUGACCUGAGCCAAAGGCAGAGGCUUUAACCACUGAGCCACCCAGGCGCCCUGUAUUUUAUUUUUGAUGUACUUAAAAAUAGGAGUUUUUUUUAAAAAGAUUUAUUUAUUUGAGAGGGAGAGAAGUGUGCAUGUGGAAGGAGGGACAAAGGGAAAGAGAGAAUCCUCAAACAGGCUCUUUUGCUAAGUGCAGAGCCCAGUCAGGGCUUGAUUCCAGGACCCUGAGAUCAUGACCUACACCAAAAUCAAGAGUUGGUCAUUUAACCAAAUGAGCCACUCAGGCACCCUUGGGGUUGUUUCCUUAAUUUUUCUUCCUGGUAGUUUGUUUUUAAUGUACAAAAACACAACAAAUUUUGAUAUAUUGAUUUUGUAUCCUGCCACUUUACCGAAUUUGUUUAUUAUUCUAAUAGGUUUUUGUUGUUGUUGUUUUUUGUUUUGUGAAGUCUUUAGGGUUUUCUGUAUAUAGUAUAUCAUCUGCAAGUAGUGACAGUUUUACUUCUUCUUUUUCAAUUUGGAUGCUUUUAAUUUCUUGAUAAUUGCUCUGGACUUUUAAAAAAAUUAGUUAAAUUUCAUUUCAUUUUAAAGAUUCAUUUAUUUAUGAGAAAGAGAGCAGGAGGAGGAAAGGGAGAGGGAGAGAGAAUCCCAAGUGGACUCCUUGCUGAGAGCUCGAUCUCAUGACCCUGAGAUCAUGGCCUGAGUUAAAAUAAAGAAUUGUGCACUCAUCCGACUCUGCCACCCAGGCAUCCCUGAACUUGUAUUUUUAAUUACAAAGACAAGCAUAGGAAUGAUACCUGGUAAAGUGAUAUUUUGCCUAUGGUGGCUUGAGGAAGAAUCACUUGGAUUUAGUUGGGAAAAAAUCCAUGUUUUUUUUCUUUUUUUUUUUCAGGUGUUUCUUUUUUAAAAUUGUUAUAAAAUACAUAUAAAUUUUGCCAUUUUAACCAUUUUUAAAUGUAUAUACAGUUUGGUAGUAUUAAAUAUAUUCACAUAGUUGUACAGCCAGUCCCAGGACUUAUUCAUCUUAUAAAACUCCCAUUUCUCCCUUCCCCCUUCCUAGCACAACUACCAUUCAUUCUACUUUCAGUUUGCAUGAAGUAUUUUAGAUACUUCAUAUGAAUAGACUCUUACAGUAUUUUUCUUCCUGUGAAUGGCUUAUUUCACUUUGUGUAAUAUACUUAAAGGUUUAUCCAUGUUAUAGCAUGUAUCAGAAUUUCCUUUCUUUUAAAAAAAGAAUAUUUAUUUAUUUAUUUAUUUGAGAAAGAGGGAGCGAGAACAUGAGCUGGGGGAGGGGCAGAGGGAGAAGCAGACUCCCGGUGAGCGGGGAGCCUUAGGUAAAGCCUGAUUCCCGGCCUCCAGGAUCAUGAUCUGAGCUGAAGGCAGACACUUAAUCGACUGAUCCACCCAGAUGCCUCCAGAACUUCCUUUCUUUUUAAGGCUGAAUAAUAUUCCAUUGUUUGUAUAUACCAUCGUUUCAUUUACUCUUUCAUCUGUUGAGAGACUCUUGGGUUGCUUCCACCUUUUGAUCAUUGUGAAUAAGCUGCUUUGAAAGUAGAUGUGCAAAUAUCUAUUUGAAUUGUCAUUUUACCCAGAAAUGCAAUUGCUGCAUCAUAUGGUAGUUCUAUUUUAAAAUAGAGUGUCAUGCUGUUUUUUAUAGUGGGUGCACCAUUUUACAUUCCCACCAGCAGUGCACAAGGGUUCCAGUAUUCCCACAGCCUUGCCAACACCUAUUAUUUUGUUUGAUUGUUUUUGGUAUAACCAUCCUACUGGGGAUAUGGGGUGUUAAAUGUUAGAUUUUCAUUUUUUUCUUUAUUAUAUUGAGUAUUAAGCAAUAAAAAGCUUAAAACUUAUCAGUGGGAAAGGAAGAGAAAAAAUUUACAUUUCAUCUUAUUCUAUAUUCAUUCUCUAUGGUUGCUGUAACAAAUUAUUGCCAAUUUCAGACAGUAUAAAUUUAUCAUCUUACAGUCUAUAGGCUAGAAGUCUGACAUGGACUCACUAGGUUAAAAUCAAGGUGUUAGGCAGGCUUUGUUCCUUUUUUAAGGUGCUAGGGGAGAAUCUGUUUCCUUACUUCUUCCAAAUUUUAGAACUCUGCCUGCCCCCCUCCCACCCCAGUUGCACCAUCCUCUGUCUUCAAAGCCAGCAGUUUUGGGUGGAGUCUCUCUUAUGCUUCUGUCCUCUGAUUCUCAGAUUCAAAACUAAUGACAACUUGGAUGAUUGGAUUGGACUCUCCCAGACAAUCCAGGAUUCCAGGAUAGUGUCUCUGUGUUAGGCUUCUUUAUUUAAAUACAUUUGUUUAGUCCUUUGCCAUUUAAGAUAACAUAUUAAUAGGUUUUGGGCAGUAAGGCAUGAGCAUCUUUGAGGAGGAAGCCAUUAUAUUGCCUACUGUAUCUGCUUCAUGGUUAAUUAACCACCUUAUUACAAAAAGGUAUUACUGGCUAAUCUAACAAGAAGAUAUAACAUUAUAAAUAUUUAUGCACCCAAUAUAGGAGCACCAAGUAUAUAAAGGAAAUAUUAAUACAGUAAUAGUAUGGGACUUUAAGACCUUAUUUACAUAAUUGGAUAGGUCAUUGAGACAAAUUCAAUAAGGAAACAUCAGCCUUAACACAUUAGACUGGAUGGACUUGAACAGAUAAUUUGUAGAAUAUUCCAUUUAAAAACAAAAGGGUAUACUAAUUCUUCUCAAGUGCACAUGGAACAUUUUCAAAGAUAGAUUAUAUGUUAGGCCAUCAAACAAGUCUUAAUAAAUUUAAGAGAAUUGGAAUUGUGUUACACAUAUAAUUUCUGACUACAGUGACAUGAAACUAGAAAUUAAUUACAGGAAGAAAACUGGAAAAUUGACAGUUGUGUCAAGAUUAAACAGCAUUGCUACUGAAUAAUUAAUGGGUCAAAGAAAAAAAACAAAAGAGAAAUCAAGAGUUACCUUGAAAUAAAAGUGGAGAUGUAACAUACUAAAAUGUAUUAGAUGCAGCAAAAACAGUUUUAAGAGGAAAGUUCUUAGUAAUUAAUGACUACCUCAAGAAACAAGAAAAAUCUCAACAUAACUUACUCCUCAAGAAACUAGAAAAAGAACAAAUGAAGCCCAGAAUUUUAGAAGGAGAGGAAAAACAAAGAUUAGAACAAAAAUAAAUUAGAGACUUAAAAAGACGAUAGAAAAAAAAUCAAUGAAACUAAGACCUGGUUCUUUGAAAAGAUAAAAUUUGAUAAACCUUUAGGUUCACCAAUGUAGAAUUUUCUCUUGAAUUCCAGGCUCAUUUCCAACAAUCUAAUAAAUCUCUCUUGCUUUUAUAUAUUCCCAUUCAAAGUCUGCUUCUGUUUUUCUUAUUCUGUGGGGAUUUAGUCACCUGAAUCAGUUAUGCUAGAGAGUUAAACUCUCCCUUCUCAUUUUCUUGGUUGUCAUUAUUAUUUUUAAAGGUUUUUCCUUUUAGUAAUCAUUGGUUUUUUUCCUAUAAAGGAAACCUAAGUUUUCAUUGCUUCUACUUAGGUAUUCCUACAUAAUUUGCCAUUUGAAUUCUUUCAGCAACCUUCUAACCUUCAUUUCAUUAUCUAGCUGAUUCUCUGGGUGCCACCAGAAUCAGUGGCUUAUUUAAAAAUGAAUAUCAGACCAUGUUACUGUCUUACUUCAAUUCUUAAGAAUUGUCUGGUAUUUAUGAGAUAAAAUGAAUAUAUUUUAGAAUGGCAUGUGGAGUUUUUCAUAAUCUGCCACUUACUAGACUCUUCAGUCUCAUCUCUUCAAGUUUAUAUUUCAUUAGUAUAACCUACUUGUAGUUUCAUUCUGUACUAUUCUCUGCAAAAUCUAUAAUUUAGACUUCAGUAGUGUCUGCAGGUAUGAUCUUCCUUCUUUAUCUACUGAAAGAUUUUAAAAGUAAGCAUAGUUGUGCCUCUGCAAAAUUUUUUCUGACAACUUUUGAGAGAAUUAUCUUAAACAAACAUCACAAACUUCUGGGUUCUCAUAUGCAGUGUUCUAAUGUUCUUCUUCAGUCUGUAUCUACUGCUUCUCUAGGCAAUUUUUGUUUGUUUGGUUCUGUGACUUAUAUCUUCGUCAUAUUAUCUUAGUCAAUAUUUGUCUCACCUUUGUGAAACAACAACAAAACAUUUUCCCUUAGACAUUUGAGGCUUUGUGAAGUUUUAAAGACUGGGUUAUAUUAAUUAUUUAUUCUCUAGUAUGUGAUAGAAAAUGUUUUAUUAUAUAGAACUUCAUAAAAUUAAAAUGUUACUUCACUGAGACUUGUUUAAAGAAUUUAAUGAAGGUUUAAGAACCAAGGAAAUACUGUGUAUUAAUUAAUAGCCAUAAGUGUUGAAUGUUAAACAUAUAUCCUAAUUUGAUACAUUUUGGAGAGGAUCUUAGGACUUAAUGGUGGUGGUUCUUCUGGGUGUGUUCAUAUAAUAUUACAGAAAAUCUUGAAAUUGGUGCUUUCUGAUAAGGAAAUGAGAUUAUCAUCAAUACAAAGAAAAAUACUUUUAAGAAAACACUUAAGCCAAUAAAUUUAAAAAAAAAAACAUAUUAGGUGCAGUGGGAUGAAUUUUAUGUGACCAGAGAAAUUCAGAAAGCUUUAAGAGUUAGAGAAAUAAUACUAAGCGUAUUGUCUCCGUUAAAGAAAAAAGAGAACAGGUAGGACAAAGAUACAACGUAAAAAUCUUGUUGUAAAUUUUGGAAACUUUUAAGGCAAAUUGGAAAGACAGAAUAGUCAUUUAAAUAUCUUAAAGAUUUGUUUAUUUAUUUAUUUGAGAGAGAGAGAGAGAGAGAGUGCGAGCCCAUAGCAGAGGGAGAAGGAGAAAGAGAAUCUCAAGCAGACUCCCUGCUGAGUGCAGAGCCUGACGUGGGGCUCAAUCCCAUGACCCUGAGAUCUUGACCUGAGCUGAAAUCAAGAGUUGGGUGCUUGACUGAGGGGCAGAGAAAGAGGGAGAGAGAGAAUCUCAAUCAGGUUCCACAUGCAGCACAGAGCCCACUGUGGGGCUUGAUUUUCAGGACUCUGAGAUCAUGACCUUAGCCAAAAUCUCAACCUCCUGAUCCAUCCAGGUGCCCCUAUAGGUUACUUUUGUAGUCCAUUUGAAAUCUAACAUAUAUUUGGCUGGUUUUCAUUGUUCUGUUUCAGGUUAUGAUUUUACUCUAAUACUUUUUAGGUUAUUUAACAAUUUAUUUACCAGUUUUUCUUACUAGACUAUAAUCUCAUUUGGAGUAGUAGGAGUUGGGUUUUAUUCAUCUUUAUUUCAUUGACACUUAGCUUGUCAUCUACUCGAUCUCCAUAAAUGUUACAUCAUUGUCAGUUCCUACACAGUCCUAGAGGAGGUUUAAUAUAUUCUUGGUAAUAUGUUCAUUUUCCUUGGGAAUUAAACUUUGCAUUAGGCAGUUCUUGUUUCUCUCAGAGUAGUAACUUUUUCUUUGCUGCAGUAAGGGAAUUUGCUCGUGCAUUUGUCUUGGCAAUUCUCAU